Salvia splendens (bonfire salvia) is the source of this 1588-nucleotide long non-coding RNA. RefSeq lists it as uncharacterized. NCBI's taxonomy places the organism in Eukaryota, Viridiplantae, Streptophyta, Magnoliopsida, Lamiales, Lamiaceae. The transcript has 14 exons. The record is from RefSeq and is a predicted model, not a curated record.
UCUCUCUCGACAGAAACCCUAGGGACCUUUAUUCCCCCCUCCCGUCGCCUCCCUCUUCCUCCACCACCACAACCCCGCCUCCCUCUUCCUCCACCACCACAAAGCCAACGACCGGCAAUCAUAUACACUACAACAGAUCUCCAAAGAUACAUCCUAAAGCACAAUAAAUUUACCCUAAUCCUCAAAAAUUAACACAUCAAAACGCACCACAAUCUGGAAAAAUGAAGAGAAUCACACAAUGUACAGAGUUUGCGAAGAACGGAGUGCGACGGAAAUGAUGGAGUCUCCAGUGAAAGCACAAAAACAUCGACGGCAGUCAACGCAUAAAGGAAUGAGGACACAGUGAUUACGAAAUUGGGAAUGUUUUGGAGCCGGCGAAACACCAAGUGGUGUUAACUGUUGAGGAGCAGAACUCCUAAGUAUGGCAGAACUCUUAAGUAGUAAGGUGUGAAAGAAGGCCCAUUGAAGUGACAAAAGGAUGGAUAAAAAACAAUAAAAAGAGGUAAUAAGGUGUGAAAGAAGGCCCAUUGAAGUGAUAAAAGGAUGGUACAAAAGCAAUAAAAAGAGGUAAACCUUGAUAAGCCCGAACAUACCUCACCUUGAUUGUGGAGUUGGUAAUUGCCUUGCUGAGAUUGUUAACACAGGUAUCUAUCAAACUAUCAAUAAUGCAGGAGUGAAGUCCUAAAAUGAAAGAUACAAAGAAAGAUUGUAUAUUACAGUGGCCCACAACUAUAAAUACCACAUAUGUGCAAAUAUAACGCAACAAAAUGGGAGAUAUCAGUGAAAGAAAAGGGAGGCCAAGAAGAUCUUUUACCAAAAUGGUAUCUAUCAAACUAUCAAUAAUGCAGGAGUGAAGUCAUUAAAUGAAAGAUACAAAGAAAGGGAGGCCAAGAAGUUCUUUUACCAAAAUAGUAUCUAUCAAACUAUCAAUAGUGCAAGAGUGAAGUCAUAAAAUGAAAGAUACAAAGAAAGAUAUAAUGCAACAAAAUGGGAGAUAUUAGUGAAAGAAAAUGGAGGCCAUGAAGAUCUUUUACCAAACUGGAAUGCAAAAGGGAUUCAUUAUAACCCUAAAAGGGUAGUGAGUAGUCGCCAGCCACCCUCUCCAAGAGAAAAAGAGAGACAAAAAAGUUAACAUAGGCUGCUACCUACACAGAGACUGCAAAAGUUUUGAGAAGAGAUUCCUCCAUAACCAACUCUUCAAGUCUGCACAUUAAAAGAAUCUGUUCAAGUCUACACACAACCAUAAUCGAAGGAAGAAGAAGAAGAAUUUAAUUCAACAGGGAUGGAUUGCAAAGAGUUCUAAAUGAGCAUUGGAAUGGCUUGAAAGUUUGCUUAAAGGUGUAAAUGAGCAUUGGAACGACAUCAACCAUUUCAUAAACUCUCCACCCCCACCCAUCUUUUAUUAUAUUAGUUCAUUUACAUUUCGUUUUGAUACUAUAUACUUAAAGGUAUGUUCUAUUAAAUCAUUUCAUUCUUUAUUAGGAUUUCUUUUGUUAUAUUUUAUAUUUAAAUGUAAUAGUAAAUAGUAGAAAUUGUAAUAGAAUAGUAUAUAAAAAGUAGGCCUUUGGCAGAUAUAGGUUUGUCUCUA